RNAcentral lists this long non-coding RNA (883 nucleotides) under Gallus gallus (chicken). RNAcentral's name for it is "long non-coding RNA NONGGAT001388". Lineage: Eukaryota; Metazoa; Chordata; Aves; Galliformes; Phasianidae. The record is from RNAcentral.
GGCCAAAGGCCCAGAGGAGGGCAUGACCAGACCAUGGAACCUUCCUGUUCUCUGCUGCUCAGCUGGAUAGUUGUUUCACCUUCCACAGGGACAUCGGUAAAAAGAUAAGUAAUCAAACUAAAACCAGCUUGGUUGCUUUUUUGGCAAUCAGCUUCUGUCAGUGGCCUUGGUGAUGGGGUAGGCAUAUCACAGCAGUCAUAACACUUGCAGUUCCCUGUGUCAGUCAGUCACUGGCGACAUGGUGGGCAUAGGAAGAUCAUAAGAACUUGUCUGCCAGCUGAGGCCACAUGUGAGCAGAAUAUUGUGUAGGGGCUGAGGCCAAGAGGCCCAGAGGUGGAUAUAACCAGACCAUUGAACGUUCCUGUCCUCUCCUGCUCAUCUGAAGAGAUGUUCUGCCUUCUACAAGCACACUGAUACAAAGAUAAGUAAUCAAAAUAACAUGCGCCGGCUGUAAUUUGGUUGUCAACUUCUGGCAACUUUCUUGGUGAUGCCGUGGGCAUGCCAAAGCAGGCAUAAGCCUGGCAGUACCAUGUGUCACAUAGGCAUUGGCAACAUGGCAUGCAUUGGGAGAUCAUAGAAGGAGCUGCACAUCUCUGCCAGACCAAGCAAGAGGAGAGAAGGAUGGUUAGCAUAUGCAGUGGUGAGAGGACAGGACAGCGGACAUAGAAGGGAAGGUUUGCGCCUGGGCAAUGAGGCAGGAGUGGUUGUGAUGCAACAGACUGUGUGUCCCCCUCCUUUGUCUUGGAGGGACAGAGGCCCAGAGGAGAGCAUGACCAGACCGUGGAACCCUUCAGUCUUCUGCUGCUCCACCUUUCACAGGGACAUCAAUACAAUGAUAAGCACAACAUUGGCAGUUCCCUGUGUCACACAAGCACUGGCAACA